RNAcentral lists this long non-coding RNA (632 nucleotides) under Homo sapiens (human). Its description in RNAcentral is "HSALNT0351334". Lineage: Eukaryota; Metazoa; Chordata; Mammalia; Primates; Hominidae. The record is from RNAcentral.
AACAGUUUGGAGAGCUCAGAAGAAGAUAGGAAAAUGUGGCAUGAAAUGGGUAUGUCUUUAUCAGCAGGGUGAAACAGGACUGAUACAAGUGCAUAUUGCCAAUUGAAAGAAGCCAAUCUGAAAAGCCUACAUAUUAUAUGACUUCAAUUUUAUAACAUUCUGAAAAAGGUAAAACUAUGAAAACAAUAAAAAGUUCAGUGGUUGCUGGGGGUUUGGUGGGGAGGAAGGAAGGGACGAAUAGGUAGAACAUGGUGGGAUUUUUAGGGCAGUGAAACUACUUUUUUUGAUACUGUUAUGAGUGGUUACAUGACGUUAUACAUUUGUCAAAACCCAUAGAACUUCCGUACAACAGAGAGAGAAAACCCUAAUGUAAGGGAUGGACUUUAGUUAAUAGUGUGUCAAUGUUGGUUUAUCAGUUGUAGCAAAUGUACCACCCCAAUGCAAGAUGUUAAUAAUAGGGGAAAAUGAGAGCCAGGUAGAGUGGGGAGAGGGAAUAUGUAAGAACUCUCUGUACUUUCUGCUUAAUUUUUCUGAAACCUAAAACUGCUUUAAAAAGUACAGCUUAUUGGUUUUUUAAAAGAGUAUUUUGGAUUCACCUUAGUUUUGUAAGGAGAAUAAUUUAAUAUAAAAAA